GACGAACGCUGGCGGCGUGCCCAAUACAUGCAAGUAGAACGCUGAAGCGAGGAGCUUACUCUUCUUGGAUGAGUUGCGAACGGGUGAGUAACGCGUAGGUAACCUGCCUUGUAGCGGGGGAUAACUAUUGGAAACGAUAGCUAAUACCGCAUAACAAUGGAUGACACAUGUCAUUUAUUUGAAAGGGGCAAUUGCUCCACUACAAGAUGGACCUGCGUUGUAUUAGCUAGUAGGUGAGGUAAUGGCUCACCUAGGCGACGAUACAUAGCCGACCUGAGAGGGUGAUCGGCCACACUGGGACUGAGACACGGCCCAGACUCCUACGGAAGGCAGCAGUAGGGAAUCUUCGGCAAUGGGGGCAACCCUGACCGAGCAACGCCGCGUGAGUGAAGAAGGUUUUCGGAUCGUAAAGCUCUGUUGUAAGUCAAGAACGGGUGUGAGAGUGGAAAGUUCACACUGUGACGGUAGCUUACCAGAAAGGGACGGCUAACUACGUG
Molecule: ribosomal RNA, 497 nt
Filed under: uncultured bacterium
Lineage: Bacteria
Description: partial 16S ribosomal RNA
Rfam family: Bacterial small subunit ribosomal RNA
Source: RNAcentral